UACGGAGGAUGCAAGCGGUAUCCGGAAUGAUUGGGCGUAAAGCGUCCGCAGGUGGCACUGUAAGUCUGCUGUUAAAGAGCAAGGCUCAACCUUGUAAAGGCAGUGGAAACUACAGAGCUAGAGUACGUUCGGGGCAGAGGGAAUUCCUGGUGUAGCGGUGAAAUGCGUAGAGAUCAGGAAGAACACCGGUGGCGAAAGCGCUCUGCUAGGCCGUAACUGACACUGAGGGACGAAAGCGUGGGGAGCGAACAGG
This 253-nucleotide ribosomal RNA is filed under the name uncultured bacterium. Its description in RNAcentral is "partial 16S ribosomal RNA". It matches the Rfam family "Bacterial small subunit ribosomal RNA", at positions 524 to 776 of the family's 1533-position model. The record is from RNAcentral.